Molecule: long non-coding RNA, 5940 nt
Organism: Octopus bimaculoides (California two-spot octopus)
Lineage: Eukaryota; Metazoa; Mollusca; Cephalopoda; Octopoda; Octopodidae
Source: RefSeq, a predicted model, not a curated record
CAGGAAGAAGACUAUUGUCCAUCAGUUUUUUUCUUUCUUUUUUUUUUCCUUUUUGUUCUUAUUCUUGCCUGAGCUUCUGGAACUAAUGAAUGAGAAAUUAUAAAAAAAAAAAAACUCCUACAACUUGGAGAUUAAUUUAUCCUUCAGCUAGAGACCUGGUAUGAAUACUUACAUGCUUGCCUCGAAUACAAACUUCACUAAAAAGGCACCCUAGAGCCAGAUAUUGGUUUUAACCCUUUUGGAUUUUAAACAUAUCCUGCCCAAAUAUUCUACCUGUUUUAUGUCCAAACCAGCCAGAUCCAGCCUCUCACACAUAUCCUACCAUGUCAUUCUGAAAAUGUACAACCAUUUCAUUGCAAUCUUGAAGUUAGGAGAUAAUUCAGAAUCAAUUCAAAACCAUGUGAAUAAAUAAGCAUAGCACUUGACGGGUUAAUCUGAUUGUUAAAGGGUUGAGCUAAGCAACAAAUCUACAUCUUAGAUCCAAGAUGGUCAACAAAGUAAUCAUAGCGACUCACAGAUUGCUUUACAUCAGCUUUCAGGUGUUGUACACUUUUGGAUAUGUUGCCUUUAUGCAUAAUGCAUUGUUCAAGUGAUUGUCUAUGUAAAAGCACAGAGUCAAAGCCAGAUUAUGUUGUGUUUAUUUGACCACCUAAUAUAUACUGAGACCAUGUGAUUUAAUCAUUUCCUUAUCAACCUUCCUCAGGUGUCCCUCCCCCCAUCUCCCUGGUUCAACAAUAUAAUACCUGCUUCUUUUAAAGCAUCCAUCUUUAAACCAAAACCCUCUGUCAAUUUUAGAUUAGAAACUUUUUGUUGCAUUACAAAGACCAAUUUUAAUAAUGACAAAGUUAACUUUUUUUUUUUUUCAAUCAAAUCCUCCUAAUGAAUUGUUUUUCAACAUGAAUUGUAGCACAAAAGUAUGUUUAUGUAUUUUUGCAUGAUUCCUGAUGUGAAAUCAUGUGUUGAAACAUAUUGUUAAUUUGGGGAUGGUCUUUUUUUUUUUCUUUUUCCUUCUCUCAUUCUGUCUUUGUCAUGUUGUGUAGUGUGGUGGAGGACAACUAAAGGCAGAAGGAAAAAAAAAGGGCACAGGCACAGUAGAAUACAUAAACCUAUAUACAUACACACACGUACACACACCACACAUACUUAAGAUGGAAAGAGAAGGAAAUUAGUAAAUAACCGUAUAAAAAAAAAACAAAUGAAUAAAACACGGGUACAGCAUAGUAAGCAAACCCAUAUACAUGCACCCAAAACACACUAUACGCAUAUGCUUCCACACACACACACACACACACACACAAUACAGAUGCAAACAAAUCCACAGAUAACAAUGCAUAUGACAGAAAGACAGAAUGGAUUAAACAGAAUAGGAGGAAACACAUGGGAUGGAGAGUUGCUGAAGAGGUCACAGGGUGUGUGACAAAAGAUUUCAGACAAAGGAUACUAAAAUAAAAAUGAUAACAAAGCUGAAGUGAUGAACGAGUAUAUAGUGCAUAUGGUUAAUUGGAGUGGGGGGGGGGGGGUAACCAUCCCCAAAUAUGACAAAGGUAGUUUGUUUCAUAAGCACCAUGAUUGAAGAAAAGGUUAACCCAUUAUCAUUUAAAGCAGCCAUAUCCGAACAAAAUCUUCUGCCUAUUUUACAUUCUAGCCAUCCAGAUCUGACCUCUCACACCAAUCCUACAAUGUCAUUCUAAAUAUAAACAGUAAUCUCAUCAAGAUCUCAAAGCUACAAGAUAAUGCAUGAUUAAUCCUGAACAACAUGAAUUAAUAAAUAUUACAUUUGAUAGAGUGAUGGAAAUACUCAAAGGGUUUUAUGUUCUGCCAGGAGCAUGGCUCUGGUUGGGUAUUGUGUCUCAAAACUCUCUCUCUCUCUCACGACCACACACACACACAAACUCUUCUCAUAUUUUCCUAUCGUGACAGUUAUAUCAAAUACAACGCUGUUGUUUGCUAGGAUGUAUGUGUGUAUAUAUAUAUAUAUAUACACACACCUGAAAAGACAAAAGGAAAUGCUAAAACACCACAGACCGAAUGGUACCUGUGGGACAUAUGUCCCUCCCCCUGGGGUUGAGUAAUAGCCAUUUCAAAAACGUCCAUCCUCUCUGCCCCCACCCUGUGUGUGUGUAUAUAUAUAUAUAUAUAUUACAAUUAGCAGCACACUCAUGUUGUUGAAAACUGAUUUCCCUUAUGCAACACUUCCAUAAUAACAUCUGGUGGUUUUACUCAACUGUCUUCUUUAACUCUGCUUAAACACUAUUAGGUGAAAACAGAUGCACUAGUUUUCCUUUUUUAUUCCUUCCAUGAUGCCAGCAGCAGUGGAUUGGCAAGAUAAAAUGCUUUAUGGUAUUUCAACUGUUUACAUUCUGAGCUCAAAUCCUACCAAGGUUAACUUAGUUUUUCAUCGCUCUAGAGGUUAAGAUAAAGUACUAGAGAAGCACUGAGACAAUUUCGGACAUAAAUGUUUACCGGGCCCCUUUGAAUGUGUGUUUUAGUAGAGUGCGGGGCCCUCAGGCAGUGUCGAUUGACCGACGGCUCAGUUCGUUCCUGCUUUCAUCCCUUUCAGGGUUGAUAAAAUGGAUUAUAACUUUUGGGACUAAAUUAUUGUCUGCCUCAAAGGCACAAAACUAAGAGAUGACCCUUUGACAAAAAACGAUAACAAUAUUGCCAUCUUUAGGUGAUUUUUAUUUUCGUUGAAGUACAAAUGUGCAUGUGGGUACACACAUACGUACACACACAAAAUGGGAUUUUUCACUUUCUGUCUGUCAAAUUCACUCACAAGGCUUUAAUCAACCUGGGGCUAUAGUAGAAGGUACUUACUCAAGGUAUUGCACUGUGGAACUGAACCCUAAACCGCUUAGUUGAGAAGCAAAUUUUCUAACCGCACAACCAUUCCUGUACUUGCGCGCGCGUACACAUGCAAAUGUUUCUAGAUAGGAUUCAAUUCAAGCUAGGAACCUUUAUUUUUGAUCUAACACAAAUAAGAAUAAUAACAAUAAAGUUGAAGUGAAGCCUAAUAGUAUCUUUAACCACUAAACCAUUAUGAUUUAUACACACUGUCAAGAAGAUAUGUACAUACUCUCCCACAAACGCACGUGUAUUUGUGUGUUGGUGUGGUAACUUCUUAGGAACCUCUCUAUGUACAUUUUUGCCUAAUCGAAGCAUUUAUUCACUGACGUUGCUCAAUAACCAAUUGGAAAUUAGUUGAAGCUACGUCCAGUAUUUACGAGCAAUAAGUUAAUGAAAAGAAUCAGUCUUGAAUGUAUCCCUUUAAGAGUCGUAUUAUUAUAUAUAUAUAUAUACAAUACAAAAGAAAGACAAAGAAAAAUACAUCAAAGCAGUACUAAGUGCUUCAGUUGGUCGCACACCUCAAGGUGCAACAGAACCUACUAAAGCAAGCCACGCUCGCAGCAUUAUCACGAGCGAUGGUGAGGCUAAGGCGUUGGAAAAGCCAAGCACCUUUACGGGUAUCACCUGACACCCCAGUAAGGCGAGCUGCUCAUGAUGACAAGAACUUUGCGGUUACUAACCCGUGAUUACUCGCUUUUUUUUUUUUUUUUUUUUGCAGCUGAUGACGAUUGAGAUAGACUCUCAUGUACCCCUAUUGUAAAUCGCAGUUAGUCACUUAGCUAGAAUAUAAAUCGACUAGAACUUAUAAGGAGAAUUGGAGCAAGGAUGUUUACAAACAAUCGAAAAAAUUCCAUCUUAAUAUUUACGUGAAAUUACCAAGUGUGAUCAUUGGUUCUCUAGCAGGAUCUAUAUAUGAUUUUGUUGUUAAAUUGCUUAUACUCCUACAAUACACAAAAUAUUUUAACUGUUUUAGACAAUUCCCAAUAAUAUUCAAUUAUGAAAAUAAGAUUUCUUAAUCUUCGAAUGACCGAGAUUUCCGACCGAGUAAAAUAGGUAUCCCAUAAAUCUAUAUUCUAAUAGCGAGGUUAAUAAUGUGGAAAAUUAUAAUCAUUUUUAACAGUAAUUCCCCAAAUACGUUUUGUUUAAUUCCAGUCAGAUAUCAUGUGCACUUACUCAGGAUUAAAUCACUUUUGAAACUUAGUGUAGAUUGUAAACACUGUAAAUAUACCCAGUGAAUGAAGAUGAGGCUAUUUAUGUAUUUUAAUUACAAUACGUAUAACCGAAGAUUAUAUAAACUGUAAUAUAUAGACAUGAAUAUUUUAAUUGUCAAUCUAUGCCAUAUUAAGGCGGCGAGCUUCAGAAUUGUUAGCAUACCGGCAAAAAUGCCUAGAGGUAUUUUGUCCGUCUUUAUGUUCCGUGUUCAAAUUCUGCUGGGGUCGACUUCGCCUUUCAACUUUUCGGGGUCGAUAAAAUAAGUACCAUUUGAGCAUUGAGGUCGAUUUAAUCCGACUUGAAACCAAUAUACACCACACGUGUACAUAUAUAUUUCGAAUAAGUAGUAAAUAUUGAUUGUAUCUGAGAAAGUACUUUUUGGCUUUAUCACUACUCUCACCUUAACCCAUUAACUGCCAAAUUUUUUUAUUCAUAUUUUUUGGUUUUACCAGGUGUCUUAGGAGUUAAAAUAGUAUAUAGUAUUUAAAUUUUCCUCAUAUGUGAAUUAUUUUGGAGAUAAUGAUAAAUUUUUCAAUAAGUCCCAAAUGGAGAACGCUGAAAAAAAAGCAUGUUUAUCCUUUUCUGUUCAAUUGCAAUAAUAAACAUUUUAGUUUUUCUGAAACUAUAGUAUCAAAUGCGAAUGUGUAUGAAAUAUGAAUGAAUGGGAUAAAUGGGAGAUGCAAAACAAUGUUUUCGAAACAGUCAAUUUUGUAGUUCAAAAAUUGCGAUUUAUGACAAAAUGUCCUCUAGAAUUAGCCAUAGCUAGAGCUAAUGGUGACAACUACAAAUAUUGUUAAAAACACCUCGAACAACCGGUGGUGAGACUUUUUUUUAGCAGACCCCCAAAUGGGGUCAUGGCACGCAAUGGGUUCAUAUAAUUUAAGAUUAAUCUCCCCCUCCCUAAAUGCUCACGACACUAACGGAAAUAGGGAUUACUUACUUUGUGCUCAAAGCAGGUCAUAAGUGAUCCAAGAGUACAAGUCAUUGACAAAAAUGAAUUAAGAUACUUUGUGUGUAAAUUGAGCGAUUUUGAAACAACUAAUAUCGUGAGCUGUCUUUUCUGAGAGCAAUAGACAAAAACAAAGGAUAAUCUUGCUAACAACAAUUCUGCUCAGAUAAUAGGGUGUUUCAUUUCCGCUCUCUUGAACUGAACUAUGGAGAAGACCUCCAAGAGAGAGAAAGCAGCUGCUCGAACCAGAUAUUUUGCAGCAUGUUACAUGCGAUCAUUCCUCGUAAAUAUGAUCGGCAGGAGAACUUUCUUGGUGCAAUCUUAUGGUCAUUCAUGACCGAAAGGGGGUCUCUGUACCUUAUUUAUAUAUAUAUAUAUAUAUGAAAUGUGUGUGAGUUUACCUGUAAGGUACUUGGAAUUCCUACACCAGUGGAUUUUGAAUUUUACCAAGUUUGAGUCGAAGAGCCGUAGGCAGAUCGAAAGUACGAACAAUUCAACAUGUCUGAUUAACAAAGUUCUGUUGGCGGUUGUUUAAUCACAUUUUCGGCAAGAUGACAUGAUUUCAAGGCACGAUCGACCAAAUGAAUGUUUGGGAUGAAUUCAUUCGUGCGUGUUAUAAUAGACAAAACACUUGAUAAUCUCCGAUUGAAUGCAUAAAACAUGGUUGGUACCUUCCAGAGUAGCAUUGCACCAAACCUCCAAGAUAUAUGCCCUAGUCGACCUUUAUCGUUGCACUGUAUAUUUUUGCCAGAAAUACUUAUAAAAGACGAAAUAAAAAUGAAGAGACGAAGAAUGUAUGUUACUGCUUGGAAUCGAACUCGGAAUCUUGGGGUUAGUAGCCUGAGCUCUUAACCACUACGCCAUAUGCCCGUGGGCAUAUGGAGGUUGUUCAGUAAGAAUUUGCAGAAACCUCAUCUAUCGCCUACGACAGGACA